RNAcentral lists this unclassified non-coding RNA (357 nucleotides) under Hevea brasiliensis (rubber tree). The record is from RNAcentral. Lineage: Eukaryota; Viridiplantae; Streptophyta; Magnoliopsida; Malpighiales; Euphorbiaceae.
GUCUAUAAUAGGAUAUGACACAGAAGAGGGGACCUGAUUAGGAGCAGGUGUGGAAACACCAUCACCAACUAACAAUGUAUCAUUUAUAGGGAAAUUCAGCUCCUGGUCCUUCUUAGUCUGCCCAACAUCACCCAUGGGCACUGGAACUGAGGUAGAAUUGCAAGGCUCCAGAAAACUACUAUCCAUUGCAGGCUGCAGAUUCACAUCUAUUAUUUGAGGGCUUUUGGAGCCAGCACAGUCAGGGGGUAAAUUCAAGUUCAAACCUCUAACUCCAUUAACCGAGUCUUUCAUGGAAUUGUCAACCUGGAUAAGAACCCAAACACGUUGACCAAAUUUUGUGCCUGAUGGGGAUGCCAU